Paramisgurnus dabryanus is the source of this 733-nucleotide non-coding RNA. The record is from RefSeq and is a predicted model, not a curated record. Lineage: Eukaryota; Metazoa; Chordata; Actinopteri; Cypriniformes; Cobitidae.
CAGAUAAACCACAGACAGUUUUAAGUGUUUCUCCACAGCAGUGGUUGACUGAAGGAGAUUCAGUGACUCUGAUGUGUGAGGUUAGAAGUUCAUCUACAGGCUGGACAUUCAGCUGGUUCACUUACAAAGAGAAAGAUGACUAUCAGCUUGUGUCAGACAGCAUUCGAGGAUCUAAAGGCAUCUACACAGUGAGUUCAGUGACUGUGAAGCACACAGGAGUUUAUGGUUGCAGAGCAGAGAGAGGAGAUCCAGUCUAUCACACAGAGUUCAGCAACACAAAGCCACUGUUUGUCAAUGAUAUAUCGAAGCUACAGUAAUACAGUGGACAACUGUGAGGAUGAUAUCAUAUGCCCCUGAACUGUGAUAAUGAAACACAAUGGGAGGAUCCAUCUACACUUCAAAAUCACAACUAACCUUAAAGACCCUACAUCUGAUAUGGGAAAACAAUAGAGAAGUUACCAGACAGGGCUUAUCUUGAUCCCAGCUAAAAUGCAUGUUUGAGCUGCAAUAAUUAAAAAAAACUUUGUACUAACAUACCUCAACAUAUACAAGUGCCAUUGUUUUGUCUCAAGAUGCACACCAGUGUUGUUUUUUGUAGGGUUUGUUUGUAAAUAUGUCCUCCUAUAAUACUGUGAAAUCACUUUUAAAGUUGUCUGAAUUAAGUACUUAUGCAUAUUAGUUAUACAAUAUAAAAUUUUGAUAAUUAAGGUAAUUAUCUUCAUGAAACGUGAUC